Molecule: ribosomal RNA, 473 nt
Filed under: uncultured bacterium
Lineage: Bacteria
Description: SSU rRNA
Rfam family: Bacterial small subunit ribosomal RNA
Source: RNAcentral
AGGACGAACGCUGGCGGCGUGCUUAACACAUGCAAGUCGAGCGGAAAGGCCCUUCGGGGUACUCGAGCGGCGAACGGGUGAGUAACACGUGAGCAAUCUGCCCUUAGCUUCGGGAUAGCCCCGGGAAACCGGGAUUAAUACCGAAUAUGACCUUGGCCGACAUCGGCCUUGGUGGAAAGUUUUUCGGCUAGGGAUGAACUCGCGGCCUAUCAGCUUGUUGGUGGGGUAAUGGCCUACCAAGGCGACGACGGGUAGCCGGCCUGAGAGGGCGACCGGCCACACUGGGACUGAGACACGGCCCAGACUCCUACGGGAGGCAGCAGUGGGGAAUAUUGCGCAAUGGGCGAAAGCCUGACGCAGCGACGCCGCGUGGGGGAUGAAGGCCUUCGGGUUGUAACCCCUUUCAGCAGGGACGAAGCGAGAGUGACGGUACCUGCAGAAGAAGCGCCGGCUAACUACGUGCCAGCAGCCGC